This 324-nucleotide ribosomal RNA is filed under the name uncultured bacterium. RNAcentral describes it as "bacterial SSU rRNA". It matches the Rfam family "Bacterial small subunit ribosomal RNA", at positions 28 to 334 of the family's 1533-position model. The record is from RNAcentral.
GAUGAACGCUGGCGGCGUGCUUAACACAUGCAAGUCGAACGAAGCAGCAGGAAGGAAGCCUCCGGGUGAAAUUUUUGCUGACUGAGUGGCGGACGGGUGAGUAACGCGUGGGUAACCUGCCCCAUACCGGGGGAUAACAGCUAGAAAUGGCUGCUAAUACCGCAUAAGCGCCCAGGGCCGCAUGGCCCGGUGUGAAAAACUCCGGUGGUAUGGGAUGGACCCGCGUCUGAUUAGCUGGUUGGCGGGGUAACGGCCCACCAAGGCGACGAUCAGUAGCCGACCUGAGAGGGUGGCCGGCCACAUUGGGACUGAGACACGGCCCAA